GACGAACGCUGGCGGCGUGCUUAACACAUGCAAGUCGAACGUGAUUUUUGUGGAAAUUCUUUCGGGAAUGGAAAUGAAAUGAAAGUGGCGAACGGGUGAGUAACACGUGAGCAACCUACCUUACACAGGGGGAUAGCCGUUGGAAACGACGAUUAAUACCGCAUGAGACCACAGAAUCGCAUGAUAUAGGGGUCAAAGAUUUAUCGGUGUAAGAAGGGCUCGCGUCUGAUUAGCUAGUUGGAAGGGUAAAGGCCUACCAAGGCGACGAUCAGUAGCCGGUCUGAGAGGAUGAACGGCCACAUUGGAACUGAGACACGGUCCAAACUCCUACGGGAGGCAGCAGUGGGGAAUAUUGCACAAUGGGGGGAACCCUGAUGCAGCGACGCCGCGUGAGUGAAGAAGGUUUUCGAAUCGUAAAGCUCUGUCCUAUGAGAAGAUAAUGACGGUAUCAUAGGAGGAAGCCCCGGCUAAAUACGUG
Molecule: ribosomal RNA, 478 nt
Filed under: uncultured bacterium
Lineage: Bacteria
Description: partial 16S ribosomal RNA
Rfam family: Bacterial small subunit ribosomal RNA
Source: RNAcentral